This 772-nucleotide long non-coding RNA is filed under the name Homo sapiens (human). RNAcentral's name for it is "novel transcript". Lineage: Eukaryota; Metazoa; Chordata; Mammalia; Primates; Hominidae. The record is from RNAcentral.
AUUGCUCCUGUGUUUCAUAGAUGGGAAAUCAUACUGAUGACUCAACCAUAUAUAGCAUUAUUUUGCUGGUUCAUGCUACCUCAGCGGAAACAGCUGCCAAAGGUCAUCUGACAUAAUAGCUGAUGAAUUCAAGCCCAGUGGAUUUCAUUUGCAAUUUUCAAUUUACUGAGGCCUCCAAACCCCACGGUGAUAAAAGCUUCCCCUAUCGUGGCCUGUCACAAACAUCAAGAAACUGCACAAACCCACAAGAAAGAAAAAAGAGAAAGCUGUGCAUCAUCACAGCUAUAGAUAAGGAGAACAGGAAGAAAUGGUAUCAUGCAGGAAGAUGGGGAGCAGCCUGUGUGGCUAGUUCUCUAAAUGCCAAUUGAAACGAAAAGACUAUGAGGAACAAUCAAAUAACUUCCACAGAAUAACAACAUGUUUCUUUGGAGCUUUUAUGUGAAAAUUGCCUUCUAAUCUCUGACUUGACAUGCUCCCACACAAAAAUAUAAAUGGUAGAUCCUUUGAUUGAUUUGCCAGGGAAGUCAAAGGACUGACAUAGCAACUACUUGUAAGUGGAUCUAGAUGUAGUACAUAUCAAAGAUGCAUUAGCAAGAAGAAGAAAGCCAUUUUUCCCCCUGUCAAACUAUUUACAAUGAACUUAGGCAGGAUCGGGAACUGAAUCCUGUUCCCAGGCAGUUGUUCAAAUUGAGCAAACCAUAUGUGUGUUUCUUGGAGAAUAGCAAGUUUGAUAACUCAGCAGGUCACCUUUGUCCUAUCCUACUUGACUCAU